GGUCGACGCAUCGCACACGCACGACGCGAAUACGCCGACCACAACACGCGAUAAACAAUAAUACCCGUACCGCGUCGUAAUAAUAACAAUAAUAAUAUAAUCCGACGGUCCCGUAUACCCGCGCGAACAGUCCGCGAGCGGCGAUGAUGAUGUUGCAGAACCCGCUGUUCCAGGAGUACAACACCGCUCUGUCGCAAUUGCUCGAACUGCACCAACAGCAGAACCGGUACCAUCAGCACCAGCAACAGCACAAUCAGCAGCAGCAGCAGCAGCAGCAGCAGCAACAGCAGCAGCAGCAGCAGCACCACCACCAUCACAAUCACCAUCACCCCGUCAGACAUCACCAC
Molecule: non-coding RNA, 347 nt
Organism: Cinara cedri
Lineage: Eukaryota; Metazoa; Arthropoda; Insecta; Hemiptera; Aphididae
Source: the annotation of a GenBank genome assembly